GAUGAACGCUGGCGGCGUGCCUAAUACAUGCAAGUCGAGCGAACGGACGAGAAGCUUGCUUCGCUGAUGUUAGCGGCGGACGGGUGAGUAACACGUGUAUAACCUACCUAUAAGACUGGGAUAACUUCGGGAAACCGUAGCUAAUACCGGAUAAUAUUUUGAACCGCAUGGUUCAAAAGUGAAAGACGGUCUUUGCGUCGGUUAUAGAUGGAUCCGCGCUGCAUUAGCUAGUUGGUAAUGUAGCGGCUUACCAAGGCAACGAUGCAUAGCCGACCUGAGAGGGUGACCCGCCACAGUGUCACUGGGGUACGGCCCGGAGGGCUACGGGAGGCAUCAGUGGGGAAUAGUGCGCAAUGGGCGGAAGCCUGAUGCAGGAACGCCGCGUGCGAGAUGACUGCCUUCGGGGAGGAAACCGCGUUCACCUGUGACGGAGCGUGAGUGACGUUAAUGAGUAGAGAAGCACCGGCUAACUACGU
Molecule: ribosomal RNA, 476 nt
Filed under: uncultured bacterium
Lineage: Bacteria
Description: partial 16S ribosomal RNA
Rfam family: Bacterial small subunit ribosomal RNA
Source: RNAcentral